This 497-nucleotide ribosomal RNA is filed under the name uncultured bacterium. RNAcentral describes it as "partial 16S ribosomal RNA". It matches the Rfam family "Bacterial small subunit ribosomal RNA", at positions 28 to 507 of the family's 1533-position model. The record is from RNAcentral.
GACGAACGCUGGCGGCGUGCCUAAUACAUGCAAGUUGAGCGCUGAAGGUUGGUACUUGUCCCAACUGGAUGAGCAGCGAACGAGUGAGUAACGCGUGGGGAAUCUGCCUUUGAGCGGGGGACAACAUUUGGAAACGAAUGCUAAUACCGCAUAAAAACUUUAAACACAAGUUUUAAGUUUGAAAGAUGCAAUUGCAUCACUCAAAGAUGAUCCCGCGUUGUAUUAGCUAGUUGGUGAGGUAAAGGCUCACCAAGGCGAUGAUACAUAGCCGACCUGAGAGGGUGAUCGGCCACAUUGGGACUGAGACACGGCCCAAACUCCUACGGGAGGCAGCAGUAGGGAAUCUUCGGCAAUGGACGAAAGUCUGACCGAGCAACGCCGCGGGAGUGAAGAAGGUUUUCGGAUCGUAAAACUCUGUUGGUAGAGAAGAACGUUGGUGAGAGUGGAAAGCUCAUCAAGUGACGGUAACUACCCAGAAAGGGACGGCUAACUACGUG